RNAcentral lists this ribosomal RNA (794 nucleotides) under uncultured Thauera sp. RNAcentral's name for it is "partial 16S ribosomal RNA". It matches the Rfam family "Bacterial small subunit ribosomal RNA", at positions 983 to 1533 of the family's 1533-position model. The record is from RNAcentral. Lineage: Bacteria; Pseudomonadati; Pseudomonadota; Betaproteobacteria; Rhodocyclales; Zoogloeaceae.
GGGUACAUUUUUGUUGUGAGGAGUUUGACUAUGUAAUCAGUGUAAAGAUAGUAGGAUUGGUGGAUUGUUAGGUAGUAUCGUGUGGAUGUAGCGCAGGGGUUUUAUUGAAAAGUGCAUAUGUUAAUGAGUGUGUGUAGGGAAUCUCUAAUUCUAUGGGAGGUAUGAAAGUUUAUUUAUAUGUGAUAACUAAGUAAGAACGAGUAAGUCUCCUAUCGUAAGAAAAUGGUAGACGAAUUAAUGCUAUAGGGAGUUAUUCUAGAGUAUUAGACGAUUCUUUACAGGUAGUUGUACUGAUUGUGUUUAAUCUUGUAAGAUUAUGAGGAUAUAGUUUAAUUGUAACAUUGAUGAGAAUUGAUAUACAUUAUUUGUAGCAGAAAAAAGAUCUUUAGGAAGUCUAUGGUUUUAAACUGAUGAGAGUGGCUAAUAAGAACAAGUCCUGUUUCCGUGUAUUGGUGGAGUUACAAAAGUAAUAUAAUGGUCAGAAUUGAUGGUUAGAUAGCGAGGAGGAGGAGUAAACUUAUAAAAUGAUAUUAGUUAUGAUAGUAGUCUUCAACUACAUUACGUGAAGUCGUAAUCGCUAGCAAUUGCUGAUAAGCAUGCUGCGGUGAAUACGUUCCCGGGUCUUGUACACACCGCCCGUUACACCAUGGGAGUGGGUUUCACCAGAAGUAGGUAGCAUAACCUUCGGGAGGGUGCUUACCACGGUGAGAUUCAUCACUAGGGUGAAGUCGUAACAAGGUAACCGUAAAGGGCGAAUUCGGAGCCUGCUUUUGUGAAAGUGCUAAAAAAAGUAU